GUUUAGUAAUAGUGAUAGUAUUAGAGAGGCUGCACUGGCUAGAUUCUACCCCACCCCUGGCAUUGCCUCACGGUGUGACCUAGGGUCAGUCUCCCCGUGGUCCUGGUCCUCAGCUGCUUUUUCACAAAGAGUUGUUCCCAUAAUCGGUCCUUUUGAAAACUUCCCACUGGCCAUAUCGAACAAGCAUCUGUACCCAGAGUAAGAGUGAGUUCCCUGUAUUUGCCAUCUUGUCUCAACUAACACCACCUACAGAAGCUGACAAUGACUGUUGGGCUUUUCCAGUGGAUGCCGGAACCCAUUUCUUGCAGCCUGGGGGGGAAGGCAGAAUAACUGGCAGCAGGAGAGAGCAACCAUGAAGUGUGCUACACGCUCAUGGGCAGAGGCCCCUGCUCCCCUAACAGAAGACGGUUUCGCUGAGCACAGGACACAGCACUCGGGUAGGAGGACAUAUCCCCUGCUUUGUAGGACAUCAUGUAACAAAGAUUUACAGGAACAGAGAGAGGAGGCAACUUGGCCAAGGUCAGGUAGCAAGUGAGGAAAAGGCCCCUCUCCUGUGGGGUCUGGGUUCGUUGCCGACUGGGCCUGCACUGAAGACAGCCAAGUGAGGACAGCCCAUCAUCCUGGAGCUGCUGCCGCAAAUCCAAAUUAACCAGAGGAAGGCAGCAGGCAGCACCAGGGAGGAUGAGCACCCAAGGGCCGGCCAUGCACCCUCCAUGUCCAGAAGAACUCAGACAUCACACCAUGAGAAGCCCAAACCAUGUGGAGAAGCCAGGUCGAGGUACUCCAUUUGCCAGGGCCAGCCGAGUUCCCAGCUCAUGGCAUCAACUGCGAGCCCUGAGAGUGCGCCAUCUUGGACAUCCAGCCCCAUGGAGCCUGCAGGUGACUCCAGCUCUAACCACGACCUGAUGCAACCACUUGAGAAAUCCCAAGAAAGAAUCUCCCAGAUGAGCCCAGUCAACCCGUGGAACUGAUUCAGGGAAGAUGCACGUCAUUGUCAGCAAAGCACCAAGCCAUCUGGCCUUCGUUGUACCUUUGAGUUGAUGUGAAAUUUCCGGCUUCACAUUUGGACAGUCCUUGAUCUGAGCACCAGAGCCCCAGAGGUGAUUGGGAGCAUCACUGUGAGAAGCCACCAUUUUUUGGACACCAACUGCGAUCCACAGUGUCCCAAGGGCUUUAUUUAUUUUAAUCUUGUGUUUAAUCUUCCA
Prionailurus viverrinus (fishing cat) is the source of this 1205-nucleotide long non-coding RNA. RefSeq lists it as uncharacterized. The transcript has 6 exons. Lineage: Eukaryota; Metazoa; Chordata; Mammalia; Carnivora; Felidae. The record is from RefSeq and is a predicted model, not a curated record.